Molecule: ribosomal RNA, 506 nt
Filed under: uncultured Lachnospiraceae bacterium
Lineage: Bacteria; Bacillati; Bacillota; Clostridia; Lachnospirales; Lachnospiraceae
Description: partial 16S ribosomal RNA
Source: RNAcentral
CACGUAGUUAGCCGGGGCUCCUUAGUCAGGUACCGUCUUGUCUCGUUCCUGCUGAUAGAGCUUUACAUACCGAAAUACUUCUUCACUCACGCGGCGUCGCUGCAUCAGGGUUUCCCCCAUUGUGCAAUAUUCCCCACUGCUGCCUCCCGUAGGAGUUUGGGCCGUGUCUCAGUCCCAAUGUGGCCGUCCACCCUCUCAGGCCGGCUACUGAUCGUCGCUUUGGUAGGCCGUUACCCUGCCAACUGGCUAAUCAGACGCGGGUCCAUCCCAUACCACCGGAGUUUUUCACGCAGGAGCAUGCGCUCCCGUGCGCUUAUGCGGUAUUAGCACCUGUUUCCAGGUGGUAUCCCCCGGUAUGGGGCAGGUUACCCACGCGUUACUCACCCGUCCGCCACUAAGAUACUCAUUUCCAAAGUGCAAGCACUCCUUCCAUAAGCAUCCCCGUUCGACUUGCAUGUGUUAAGCACGCCGCCAGCGUUCAUCCUGAGCCAGGAUCAAAACUCUCG